This 376-nucleotide ribosomal RNA is filed under the name uncultured bacterium. RNAcentral describes it as "bacterial SSU rRNA". It matches the Rfam family "Bacterial small subunit ribosomal RNA", at positions 524 to 898 of the family's 1533-position model. The record is from RNAcentral.
UACGGAGGGUGCAAGCGUUAUUCGGAUUUACUGGGCGUAAAGGGCGCGUAGGCGGCUUGAUAAGUCAGUCGUGAAAGCCCGGGGCUCAACCCCGGAAGUGCGAUUGAAACUAUUUGGCUUGAGUAUGGUAGAGGGAAGUGGAAUUCCAGGUGUAGCGGUGAAAUGCGUAGAUAUCUGGAGGAACACCGGUGGCGAAGGCGACUUCCUGGACCAAUACUGACGCUGAUGCGCGAAGGUGUGGGUAGCAAACAGGAUUAGAUACCCUGGUAGUCCACACAGUAAACGGUGAUCACUAGGUGUUGCGGGUAUUGACCCCUGCAGUGCCGGAGCUAACGCAUUAAGUGCCCCACCUGGGGACUACGGCCGCAAGGCUAAA